Molecule: ribosomal RNA, 240 nt
Filed under: uncultured Lactobacillus sp.
Lineage: Bacteria; Bacillati; Bacillota; Bacilli; Lactobacillales; Lactobacillaceae
Description: partial 16S ribosomal RNA
Rfam family: Bacterial small subunit ribosomal RNA
Source: RNAcentral
UAACCUGCCCAAGAUAUCGGGAUAACACCUGGAAACAGAUGCUAAUACCGGAUAACAACAGAUGAUGCCUAUCAACUGUUUAAAAGAUGGUUCUGCUAUCACUCUUGGAUGGACCUGCGGUGCAUUAGCUAGUUGGUAGGGUAACGGCCUACCAAGGCGAUGAUGCAUAGCCGAGUUGAGAGACUGAUCGGCCACAUUGGGACUGAGACACGGCCCAAACUCCUACGGGAGGCAGCAGUU